RNAcentral lists this ribosomal RNA (561 nucleotides) under uncultured Actinomycetes bacterium. Its description in RNAcentral is "bacterial SSU rRNA". It matches the Rfam family "Bacterial small subunit ribosomal RNA", at positions 337 to 905 of the family's 1533-position model. The record is from RNAcentral. Lineage: Bacteria; Bacillati; Actinomycetota; Actinomycetes.
UUCUACGGGGGGCAGCAGUGGGGAAUAUUGCACAAUGGGCGCAAGCCUGAUGCAGCGACGCCGCGUGGGGGAUGAAGGCCUUCGGGUUGUAAACUCCUUUCGCUAGGGACGAAGCUUUGUUGUGACGGUACCUAGAUAAGAAGCACCGGCUAACUACGUGCCAGCAGCCGCGGUAAUACGUAGGGUGCGAGCGUUGUCCGGAAUUACUGGGCGUAAAGGGCUCGUAGGUGGUUUGUCGCGUCGUCUGUGAAAUUCUGGGGCUUAACUCCGGGCGUGCAGGCGAUACGGGCAUAACUUGAGUGCUGUAGGGGUAACUGGAAUUCCUGGUGUAGCGGUGAAAUGCGCAGAUAUCAGGAGGAACACCGAUGGCGAAGGCAGGUUACUGGGCAGUUACUGACGCUGAGGAGCGAAAGCAUGGGUAGCGAACAGGAUUAGAUACCCUGGUAGUCCAUGCCGUAAACGGUGGGCGCUAGGUGUGAGGGUCUUUCUACGACUUUCGUGCCGUAGCUAACGCGUUAAAUCGACCGCCUGGGGAGUACGGCCGCAAGGUUAAAACUCAAA